GCCAGAUACAUGCGUCAUCCGCCAGACACUCCCCCGAAGCCAGCGAGGAUGGCUGCGCGCGCGUUUGAGCGCUCGCGCGCGGCGACCCGUCUGUCUCCUUCUUUUUUUCUUUUUUAAAUGUAACCUGGUUUAUUGGGCUCUCGGCGUAUUCUUGCGUUCCUUCUGCACUGGGACAAGACACCACUGCACUAUUGGACUACGGCAAGCUGGUACCGUCAGGUGGAGCUUCAUACAGGAACUACUGCCUUACCUGCUGGUGUCACAACGUUGGAUGAACGCACAAAAAGCGCGGAACGAGCUUUUAUAUAGAGCAAAAUAAAUAUUUCCUCAUUGCACAAAA
Dermacentor silvarum is the source of this 340-nucleotide long non-coding RNA. RefSeq lists it as uncharacterized. The transcript has 2 exons. The record is from RefSeq and is a predicted model, not a curated record. Lineage: Eukaryota; Metazoa; Arthropoda; Arachnida; Ixodida; Ixodidae.